RNAcentral lists this ribosomal RNA (579 nucleotides) under Aureobasidium pullulans. Its description in RNAcentral is "eukaryotic LSU rRNA". The stretch from base 216 to 369 matches the Rfam family "5.8S ribosomal RNA". The record is from RNAcentral. Lineage: Eukaryota; Fungi; Ascomycota; Dothideomycetes; Dothideales; Saccotheciaceae.
GGUUUCCGUAGGUGAACCUGCGGAAGGAUCAUUAAAGAGUAAGGGUGCUCAGCGCCCGACCUCCAACCCUUUGUUGUUAAAACUACCUUGUUGCUUUGGCGGGACCGCUCGGUUCCGAGCCGCUGGGGAUUCGUCCCAGGCGAGCGCCCGCCAGAGUUAAACCAAACUCUUGUUAUUUAAACCGGUCGUCUGAGUUAAAAUUUUGAAUAAAUCAAAACUUUCAACAACGGAUCUCUUGGUUCUCGCAUCGAUGAAGAACGCAGCGAAAUGCGAUAAGUAAUGUGAAUUGCAGAAUUCAGUGAAUCAUCGAAUCUUUGAACGCACAUUGCGCCCCUUGGUAUUCCGAGGGGCAUGCCUGUUCGAGCGUCAUUACACCACUCAAGCUAUGCUUGGUAUUGGGUGCCGUCCUUAGUUGGGCGCGCCUUAAAGACCUCGGCGAGGCCACUCCGGCUUUAGGCGUAGUAGAAUUUAUUCGAACGUCUGUCAAAGGAGAGGAACUCUGCCGAUUGAAACCUUUUAUUUUUCUAGGUUGACCUCGGAUCAGGUAGGGAUACCCGCUGAACUUAAGCAUAUCAAUAA